Molecule: small nucleolar RNA, 125 nt
Organism: Caenorhabditis elegans
Lineage: Eukaryota; Metazoa; Nematoda; Chromadorea; Rhabditida; Rhabditidae
Source: Ensembl
UGUAAUGUCAGUUUCAGUGAAGGAGACACUCACUCAACGAAAUGCUUACCUUCGUGAUGAAGCUGAGCGUCUUUCCAAAGAGUGCGAAGUCAUCCGUCGGCUAAUUUUCGACAAACUUGGCAAAA